GACGAACGCUGGCGGCGUGCUUAACACAUGCAAGUCGAACGGAAAGGCCCUGCUUUUGUGGGGUGCUCGAGUGGCGAACGGGUGAGUAACACGUGAGUAACCUGCCCUUGACUUUGGGAUAACUUCAGGAAACUGGGGCUAAUACCGGAUAGGAGCUCCUGCUGCAUGGUGGGGGUUGGAAAGUUUCGGCGGUUGGGGAUGGACUCGCGGCUUAUCAGCUUGUUGGUGGGGUAGUGGCUUACCAAGGCUUUGACGGGUAGCCGGCCUGAGAGGGUGGCCGGCCACAUAGGGACUGAGAUACGGCCCAGACUCCUACGGGAGGCAGCAGUGGGGAAUAUUGCACAAUGGGCGGAAGCCUGAUGCAGCAACGCCGCGUGCGGGAUGACGGCCUUCGGGUUGUAAACCGCUUUCGCCUGUGACGAAGCGUGAGUGACGGUAAUGGGUAAAGAAGCACCGGCUAACUACGUGCCAGCAGCCGCGGUGAUACGUAGGGUGCGAGCGUUGUCCGGAUUUAUUGGGCGUAAAGGGCUCGUAGGUGGUCGAUCGCGUCGGAAGUGUAAUCUUGGGGCUUAACCCUGAGCGUGCUUUCGAUAGGGGUUGACUUGAGGAAGGUA
This 614-nucleotide ribosomal RNA is filed under the name uncultured bacterium. RNAcentral's name for it is "bacterial SSU rRNA". It matches the Rfam family "Bacterial small subunit ribosomal RNA", at positions 28 to 653 of the family's 1533-position model. The record is from RNAcentral.